AUACGGAGGAUGCGAGCGUUAUCCGGAUUUAUUGGGUUUAAAGGGAGCGUAGGUGGGAUAUUAAGUCAGCUGUGAAAGUUUGGGGCUCAACCUUAAAAUUGCAGUUGAUACUGGUUUCCUUGAGUACGGUACAGGUGGGCGGAAUUCGUGGUGUAGCGGUGAAAUGCUUAGAUAUCACGAAGAACUCCGAUCGCGAAGGCAGCUCACCGGGCCGGAACUGACACUGAUGCUCGAAAGUGCGGGUAUCAAACAGGAUUAGAUACCCUGGUAGUCCGCACAGUAAACGAUGAAUACUCGCUGUUUGCGAUACACGGUAAGCGGCCAAGCGAAAGCGUUAAGUAUUCCACCUGGGGAGUACGCCGGCAACGGUGAAGCUCAAAUGAAUUGACGGGG
This 393-nucleotide ribosomal RNA is filed under the name uncultured bacterium. RNAcentral's name for it is "partial 16S ribosomal RNA". It matches the Rfam family "Bacterial small subunit ribosomal RNA", at positions 523 to 918 of the family's 1533-position model. The record is from RNAcentral.